GGUGGCGAGUGGCGAACGGGUGAGUAAUACAUCGGAACGUGCCCUGUCGUGGGGGAUAACUAGUCGAAAGAUUAGCUAAUACCGCAUACGACCUGAGGGUGAAAGCGGGGGACCGGUAACGGCCUCGCGCGACAGGAGCGGCCGAUGUCUGAUUAGCUAGUUGGUGGGGUAAAAGCCUACCAAGGCGACGAUCAGUAGCUGGUCUGAGAGGACGAUCAGCCACACUGGGACUGAGACACGGCCCAGACUCCUACGGGAGGCAGCAGUGGGGAAUUUUGGACAAUGGGGGCAACCCUGAUCCAGCAAUGCCGCGUGUGUGAAGAAGGCCUUCGGGUUGUAAAGCACUUUUGUCCGGAAAGAAAUGGCUCUGGUUAAUACCUGGGGUCGAUGACGGUACCGGAAGAAUAAGCACCGGCUAACUACGUGCCAGCAGCCGCGGUAAUACGUAGGGUGCGAGCGUUAAUCGGAAUUACUGGGCGUAAAGCGUGCGCAGGCGGUUUGAUAAGA
RNAcentral lists this ribosomal RNA (507 nucleotides) under Cupriavidus taiwanensis. RNAcentral describes it as "bacterial SSU rRNA". It matches the Rfam family "Bacterial small subunit ribosomal RNA", at positions 87 to 588 of the family's 1533-position model. Lineage: Bacteria; Pseudomonadati; Pseudomonadota; Betaproteobacteria; Burkholderiales; Burkholderiaceae. The record is from RNAcentral.